Molecule: ribosomal RNA, 584 nt
Filed under: Thraustochytriidae sp. ANACC TC_034
Lineage: Eukaryota; Bigyra; Thraustochytrida; Thraustochytriidae
Description: SSU rRNA
Rfam family: Eukaryotic small subunit ribosomal RNA
Source: RNAcentral
CCAGGGAAGGCAGCAGGCGCGUAAAUUACUCUAUGCCAACGCGGCGAAGUAGUGACGAAAAAUAGGACUGGGUAGCGCUUUGCGUUAUCUUUGUCCAAUGAGAGCAAUGUAAAAGCCUCAUCGAGGAUCCAUUGGAGGGCAAGUCUGGUGCCAGCAGCCGCGGUAAUUCCAGCUCCAAUAGCGUACACUAAAGUUGUUGCAGUUAAAAAGCUCGUAGUCUAAUGUAUGGGAGUUGCGGUGUGGGUGUUUGGUUGGUUUUGCCGACUAGACAAUACUCGCUCCGCUUCCCGCUUGUUUUGCUCUCUUUUCUAGAAGGCAAAUGUUUCACUGUAAGUAAAACAACUCGCUCAACAGCAAGGUUAUCUUGAUAUGAAUUAGUAUGGGAUGAUGAGAUAGGCUCGGUCCGUAUUUUGUUGGUUUUAGUGGUCUGAGAAUGAUGAAGAGGGACAAUUGGGGGUAUUCGUAUUUACAUGUCAGAGGUGGAAUUCUUGGAUUUUGGAAAGACGAACUAAUGCGAAAGCAUCUACCAAAGAUGUUUUCAUUGAUCAAGAACGAAAGUUUGGGGAUCGAAGAUGAUUAGAUAC